Long non-coding RNA from Syngnathoides biaculeatus (alligator pipefish), 3427 nucleotides. RefSeq lists it as uncharacterized. NCBI's taxonomy places the organism in Eukaryota, Metazoa, Chordata, Actinopteri, Syngnathiformes, Syngnathidae. The transcript has 3 exons. The record is from RefSeq and is a predicted model, not a curated record.
UGAAGGAGUUGGUCACGGUCUUCCCGGGGGUCUUGGAGGUCACCACGAAGUCCAUGCCCUUCUGCGUGAUCUCCGUCACAGGCUUGAUGUCCUUGGCCAUCUUGAUGACUUCCUCGGGGAGUUCUGGAAGGCCUCAUAGUUCUCCUGUGCAUAGACCUGCCAUGUUCCAUUGAAGUCCAUGUUGACCAGUAGGAGGCUGAGACAAGCUGCGAGGGAAGUGAACCUCAACUGUGCGGGGAGAAUCCGCCCGAGCCCGCUCUCUUUUAUACUCCCCUGGCGAGGCGUUUAAUUAGUAACCCCGUCGGACGUUGUUUGAACAGCCCCGAGUUCAUUUGCUCCUCGAAUAGGAGCGAAGCAAAGAUGGUGAUUACGGUUCUUUGCAGCUGAGAGGUUCACUGAUACAUGACGCAGAUGCGACAACUCGACAUUGGUGGGAAGUAAUGACGCAGAGGUACUUCGUUAUUGCACUUGAGUUUACUUUUCAGAGCCACGAACCUGGGAACUUACAAGUCGGAACGUGAACCAGGGAGCAUUACCGGCAACAGACCUAGCAAUAUUUCAUGUAUUAUCAAAGUAGAUAUAUUCUCCCUGAGUGUGUGUUCAUGACUUUAUGUUGCUAUUCCAUAAGUGUAUAAUUAUUCAGUUGCUGGUUAAGUCUGUGAUGUAUCCAAGUGUUAUGUGCUAUGCCAACUUUGGUGCUAUGUUAUCUUAGCAGGUGCUACAAUUUAUUGCACCGAAAUUGGGCUUAUAUAAGCAACGUGAUGCGUGGCCAUCAUCUUUGUGAAAUGUUCUAAAAAAAUAUGGAAUGAACAUUUUCAAAGGCCUCUAAAAUCAUCCAUAACAAUGAUGAGUAAAUUACCCAUUCUACUGCCCAUGCUGCUCCUCUACCAAAUAAUGCUUUUUAGGGCCAAUGACGCAGUUUGAAACAAGUUCAUUUGGCGGACAACUUGGGUUUUUGGCACAUUUGAGUUUAUUGUUGGAUAUUUUUAACUGAAACCUGUCAGCCAAUCGGAGAAUGGGAUCCUAGAGUAGCAGAUGAAAUGGAAGUGCUGAGGAGAUAUGCUUAAAAAUAAUUUGUGCUGUUUUUAGGACUCAAUUUUGUGUUGGUUAAAUCGGAAAAAAAAAUCAUGAAAAAGCCUGAAGCAAAAAAAAAAAAAAAAAAAAAAAUUCCAAAUCCCACUCUUCGUUUUCAAAAUUCUUGGUGUAUUGUACUCAUGGUGAAGUGCAAUUUUUCGCCAAUUAUUUUUUAACAAGUAUCUGCACUCCUACUUAAGUCGACUGUGAGUAUUUUUGCCACCUGUGUAACCUGAUGAGAAAAAAAACCUCAAGAAGCACAAAUCUCAGACGGCUAACAUCAACAAGUAACGCACCCACGUCCACAUGGUAAAGUAUUUUAUUUCAAAAGUAAUCAGUACACACUGCAUUUCCUCCAAUAGUUUCCGUUUCCAAGACAUACAAAUAAAGACUUCCCGUUUCCCAUAUGAAUUUGUAAAAUAUCUCAGUUCACAGACAUUUUUGUUCUACUGAGCCCAUUUGAACUUGCUAACCAAAACAGCAGCCACUCCCGAGGGAUGUAAAUAGUCCUUUAAAGCUACAUGAUUUAUUCGUUUCACCCAGUCAUUUCCCGGAAAUACUGUUUGAUAUGCCACCCAUCCAUCCAUUUUCUGUACCGUUUAUCCUCACUAGGGUUUGUGGGCAUGCUGGAGGCUAUCCCAGCUAUCCUUUGGCAAGAGGCAGGGUACACCCUGAAGUGGUGUAGCCUGGUGGUAUUAUUUUUAAAGAGUUCUGUUCCGAAAAAAAAUUCUACUACCAAGGCGACUUCCCUUAAAGGUGUCAACCACUACGGACAGGCGAGGGACAUCAUCAUCAUCAUCAUCAUCAUCAUCAUCAUUCAGCGGACACGCCCGUAACGUUUGAAAGUGGAGACAGUGCCUUGAUUUGUAAUAAUUCCGAAGCCUAUUAGGUGAGUCUUUUUAUUAUUCAAAUUUGUCAUGUUAGUAAAAACACUUUUGGGGGUGUGUAAAAUUUAGAAAACAUUCACUAUCAAGGACGGCACGGUGGAUCAGCUGGGAAAGCGUUGGCCUCAUAGUUCUGAGGUCCCGGGUUCAAUCCUAGAUCCGCCUGUGGGGAGUUUGCCUACAUGGUUUUCCUACGAGCACUCCAGUGUCCUCCCACAUCUCAAAAACAUGCAACAUUAAUUGCCCAUAGGUGUAAUUAUGAGUGCGACUGUCUCUGUGCCCUGCGAUUGGGUGGAAACCAGUUCAGGGUGUUCCCCGCCUCCUCCCUGUUGACAGCUGGGAUAGACUCCACCACUCCCUGCGACCCUUGUGAGGAUAAGCGGCUAAGAAAAUGGAUGGAUUUUACCAUCAAUUUAGGGGGAUUUUAGGUAUUAAAGAGACAAAAAGACAAAAAAUAAAGAUUUGUGGCAAGCACAUUACCCUUACAGUUUUGAGUUUGAAUCUAUGGAUCUCGAAUUCCAGUCAGACGUUGAUGUGUUCUAUGUGGGUACUCCGGCUUCCCACAUUCCAAAAACAUGCAUGUUGAGGUUAUGUAAAACUCUAAAUUUGCCUUAGGUGUAAAAGCUCGUUUAUUUAUUUGUAUAUAUUAAAAAAAAACUGCCUUGCGAUUGGCUGUCGACCAGGGCCUAUUCCACCUCUUGCCCAAAAGUCAAAUGAGACAGGCUCCAGCUCGCCUCGUGUGACCCCAAGAAAGACAGGCCCAAAUGAGAAAGUUUGGAUUUACACACGUCUGCAACCUUUCCCCGUCUGCGGUGCCAUUGAACCUCCUAACGUGACUCCGGUGGGGUGAACGACCCCACGGACAGUUUGCACUUUUAAAGUACAAACGGACUUCAUCUUCUUUAUGUUCCGAAUUUGUUCCCUCACAAAACCGUGGCCUUAAAAGUAAGGUGCACACCAAGCCGGGACUUUUUGGCGCACUAUUACAUCACCCAAAAUGGUACCAUCUGUCUUUCAUCAUCUGUGACCCAAGAAGCUGCGUGCUAAUGAACAAACACAAAUGUAAUGUUCCAUUAUGUAUUUUUGUUUAGUUUGCACUUGUUGAGUGACAUUCUAGGAAUCACUCGCGUUGGAAGCCUUGUGAUAAAGAAGAAGCUCGACCAAGCCACAGCAUUUGCACAUUUGGCCGGACUGCACCAAACAUACAAUGAUCGAUAACAGGUGUGGGUAAAUUUAGGACCAAUUCAGUUUUUGUCCAAUUCAUGAAUGCUGUAAUAUUUGUUACAAUAAUUAUUCUUUUUCUAAGAUCGAUUCAAUAAAAAUAAUUGCAUUCAGCUAUUUUAUUUAAAAAAAUGGUUAAUUGAUUUAUUGAAUGCUGUAAACAUUUUACAUUUAUUAUUGGCUUUCUUGGUAAGUUAAUUACUUGAAAAUUACAUUUUUUAAAUAAAAUAAUAAUUUACGUCACUAUU